AGCUUGCUUUAUAUAACUUAGCAGCGAACGGGUGAGUAACACGUAGAUAAUCUAUCCUAUACUGGGGGAUAGCCCGAUGAAAGUUGGAUUAAUACCGCAUAUAGCUAUAUAGUUGCAUGAUUAUGUAGUGAAAGAUUUAUUGGUAUAGGAGGAGUCUGCGGCACAUUAGCUAGUAGGUGAGGUAAAGGCUUACCUAGGCGACGAUGUGUAGCCGGUCUGAGAGGAUGAACGGCCACAAUGGAACUGAGACACGGUCCAUACUCCUACGGGAGGCAGCAGUGGGGAAUAUUGCACAAUGGGGGAAACCCUGAUGCAGCAACGCCGCGUGAGUGAAGAAGGUUUUCGGAUUGUAAAGCUCUGUUAGCAGGGAAGAGGAAGGACGGUACCUGCAGAGGAAGCCACGGCUAACUACGUGCCAGCAGCCGCGGUAAUACGUAGGUGGCAAGCGUUGUUCGGAAUAACUGGGCGUAAAGGAUGCGUAGGCGGUUAAACAAGUUAUAUGUUAAAUAUAUAGGCUUAACCUGUAGAAAGCAUAUAAAACUGUUUAACUAGAGUGCAGGAGAGGUAAAUGGAAUUCCUAGUGUAGCGGUGAAAUGCGUAGAGAUUAGGAAGAACACCAGUGGCGAAGGCGACUUACUGGACUGUAACUGACGCUGAGGCAUGAGAGCAUGGGGAGCAAACAGGAUUAGAUACCCUGGUAGUCCAUGCUGUAAACGAUGGGUACUAGGUGUGGGUUGUGAAUAACAAUUCGUGCCGUCGCAAACGCAAUAAGUACCCCGCCUGAGGAGUA
Molecule: ribosomal RNA, 790 nt
Filed under: uncultured bacterium
Lineage: Bacteria
Description: bacterial SSU rRNA
Rfam family: Bacterial small subunit ribosomal RNA
Source: RNAcentral